Equus caballus (horse) is the source of this 1955-nucleotide long non-coding RNA. The record is from Ensembl. Lineage: Eukaryota; Metazoa; Chordata; Mammalia; Perissodactyla; Equidae.
AGUGUUUGAUUAACCAGAGGACUGAUGUCUUGGGGGACAUCUUUAGAAUUCCGCUUAUCACAGAGCAUUUGUAGAUGAAGUGGGUACCAGCAACAUGGCAGCCAUCCAGAACCUAAGGACAAAGAAGACCAUAGGUUCAUCUCUGGGACUGCAUUGACCAUCAGAUUUCAGAGGCAGUGAUGUCGGAUAUCCAGUGUUAUCCUGCUUCCUGCUCUUGGUUGUGAUUCCUCUGUUCGCCCCUGUGGUUCACAGCCUGGUAUAAAGUGCUGCCUCACAAAACUGAGUAGGGACUGUGUCCACACUUUGGGGCACCAGUCCUUUUACUAUGAAAGUAAGCACUACCUAGUGCUACCCUAAGCCGAUAUUCCUGAGAUCUGAUCGACUGUAAUCAUCAUCAUCAUCAAAGGUAUCAUAGGUAUCAUCAUAGGUAUCACUCGCUUGCUUACUAUGUGUCAGACAUUAAAAUAGGUGCUUUAUAUGUGUAACUUAUUAAAUCUUUACAGUGCUCAGAUGAAUUAGGCAUUAUUUUUAUUCCCAUUUUCCAAAUGAAGCCCAAAGAGGUUAACCAAAUUGCCCACGUCCACUAGUUAGCACAAGGCAAGCUGCAACCGGGUCACAUCAUCACCACAGCUGCAAAGGAGGCUGGGAAGCUGAGUAUCUAGCACAUGAGAAAACCCCCAUGAUCAACAUGGGCCAGUGGUCCUCAGAGUGUCCUGAGGGUCUCCUUUGCCAUGGUUCUGCAAGGUCUUCCUUUCCAACUACACCUCUGUAUGACACUGAAUUUUCGACUAAAACCACAUAUCGCACCAGACAACACAGAAGAAGAUACGAGCAUCCAACGGUCUUCAAGCAAGGCAGAUGUUAAAGAGAAAAAUCCCAUGAGGCCAAUCAGAAAUCAUCACCUCUAACUGGAAGCCUUUAGGUCUGACGGACAAAUACAUUGGACUGAAGACAAUGUGUGAUGUACAUUAACAAGGAGAAAUUCCCCAGAAAAGGAUCCUGCUUAAUUUUGUUUCUUGUCCCAGUAUUUCCAGACAUUCGAGCAGAGAGAGAAAGAGAGAGAGAUAAAGAGAGAAACACUCAUCCGCAGUUCAUGGAACACAUUUCAGGAAAUACCUAGGGGCUAUUUUGAUUUUUGUCCUGAGGAGCUUGGACUCAGAAACCUGCAGGUUCUCGUCCAGCUCUGAUGUGCAGAGUUUUCUAUCGCGCUUCUGAUUCCAGCUCCAACUUCUGCACGCCGCAGUCUCCGUGUCCUUUUAAAGUCUCUCUCUAACUUUGAUCAAUCGUGACGAGACACCCUGCUGCCAGGUAUCCUUCUGGAAGGAUUUCUACAGCAUUAAUCUAAUGACAAUCUUUGCCACCCCAGGGUGUGACCAUUUCCCCACGUCCAUGUUGAACUUGUCAGAAGGAUUGUGUCUCAGAGAUUCUCAAAUAUCAAUGGCUUCUUUUGACCACCUAAGCAGUCAGGUAUAUUUUAAAUGGCUACUGUCCUUAAACCACACUGGCCCAGGGGAGUCUAACCUCUGCCCAGUGUUGAUAGGCAAAAUAUUUAACAACCAAAAUGUCCCAGUGAUGACUGAUCUUGAUGUAAGCCAACCCCAAACAACCAGACAUCCACACUGGUGCAUUCGAGCUGAAGACGAGACCUGCCUCCAUCUACUUUCCGGCCCUGGUCCACCCGGAAGGGCUUCCUUCAUUCCUCUUUUUGGAGGUUGAAUACAAUUCCUCACGUUAUGAAACCAAGAUUUUCCAGAUUCUUUGCAGUUCAUUACAAGAGAACAGGCAUUCUUCUGGAGAUUUUGUUAUCUGGAAAUUUCCUGUGGUCACAUCCUUCUCCAAAGGCCUCAUCAAAAGAGCGCAUGCUAGACUUCUCUGCUUCAGACAGCUGGAAAGCACGACAAGAGAGAGAAUGCCCAGGGCACAGAGAGAUCAAGCGGGCAGGAGGCAGGGGGCCU